UACGGAAGGGGCAAGCGUUGUUCGGAAUCAUUGGGCGUAAAGGGCGCGUAGGUGGUUCUGUAUGUCUACCGUGAAAGCGUACGGCUCAACCGUAUUUUGUCGGUGGAAACUGCAGGACUUGAGGCUGGGAGGGGCUGGUGGAAUUCCCUGUGUAGCGAUGAAAUGCGUAGAGAUGGGGGAGAACACUCGUGGCGAAGGCGGCCAGCUAGACCAGUUCUGACACUGAGGCGCGACAGCGUGGGGAGCAAACAGG
Molecule: ribosomal RNA, 253 nt
Filed under: uncultured bacterium
Lineage: Bacteria
Description: partial 16S ribosomal RNA
Rfam family: Bacterial small subunit ribosomal RNA
Source: RNAcentral